RNAcentral lists this unclassified non-coding RNA (763 nucleotides) under Cimex lectularius (bed bug). RNAcentral's name for it is "uncharacterized LOC106674384, transcript variant X2". The record is from RNAcentral. Lineage: Eukaryota; Metazoa; Arthropoda; Insecta; Hemiptera; Cimicidae.
AGAUGGAACCAAAUUCACAUGUUGUUUCUGGCGACAAAACAAGCAACAAGUAAUUUAUUUCAUCUAGUCGAAGUAGUCGCAAAUUCAAACAAUUAAGUCGUUUAGCAUACGCAGAACAGCAAAUGCGAGGGCCAAUGGGGCAAUAAUUCUGUGCCAGACGAUAGUCACAUAAUCAUGUCCAGCGAUAUGAAACCUUUCAGCUCGAGUUUAAAGCUAUCCGUAGCAGACGAAGACCCCAGCGAAGAUUCAUGCGGGGUGAUGUCAACGAUACAAUUGAUCGAGAAGUGUUCGAAGAAAUUGAAAGAAGCCGAAGCAACAAGAGAUACCGACACGUCCAAAUACGAGUACGUUUAAAAUAUGGCAAUUUUCCAGUGUAGACAGAGACAUCAAGAGAGAAUCGAUAUUUCUUCAUGUGGAUAGGAAGUCGAAGACUUUCUUCCUACCCUACAUCGUCGUCUUCGGACUGUUUUUGAUGGCUGCGUUGACGUCUGUAAUAUUCGGUUCGUGUUACUUUUCACAUUGCGCUUAUCUGCCCGAAGACGUGAAGCAAUCGCCGCUAAAAAUACUUGUGACAACUUUUUACAACGCCCUGGUUGACAUUUAUCUCGAACCAGUGGAGGUGGGAACCAAAUUGUAAUCGCGUGUACUCCACUCCUUAGGAAGGAAGUAUUAGUACACUCAUUUUGUACACAUUCUCCAGAAAAUUGAUAUCCUGUAACGCUAUCAUUGUGAACUUGUGUGACAAUAAAAAAAUCGUAAAGUA